AUUGAACGCUGGCGGCAGGCCUAACACAUGCAAGUCGAGCGGCAGCGACAACAUUGAACCUUCGGGGGAUUUGUUGGGCGGCGAGCGGCGGACGGGUGAGUAAUGCUUGGGGAUCUGCCCGGUUGUGGGGGACAACAGUUGGAAACGACUGCUAAUACCGCAUACGCCCUACGGGGGAAAGCAGGGGCUCUUCGGACCUUGCGCGAUCGGAUGAACCCAAGUGAGAUUAGCUAGUUGGUGGGGUAAUGGCUCACCAAGGCGACGAUCUCUAGCUGGUUUGAGAGGAUGAUCAGCCACACUGGGACUGAGA
RNAcentral lists this ribosomal RNA (310 nucleotides) under uncultured Gammaproteobacteria bacterium. Its description in RNAcentral is "bacterial SSU rRNA". It matches the Rfam family "Bacterial small subunit ribosomal RNA", at positions 30 to 324 of the family's 1533-position model. Lineage: Bacteria; Pseudomonadati; Pseudomonadota; Gammaproteobacteria. The record is from RNAcentral.